Molecule: unclassified non-coding RNA, 2247 nt
Filed under: Leishmania donovani
Lineage: Eukaryota; Euglenozoa; Kinetoplastea; Trypanosomatida; Trypanosomatidae
Description: gene:LdHU3.28.0860(CDS-product:protein_transport_ protein_SEC13_putative)
Source: RNAcentral
CAAAGUGCGCCGGUGUGUCUUCUGGUUUUCCUCUUCGAUUUGUGGCGGUGUGGGGGGGCAUAGGCAUCGGCACUGUACGCGAAACGCCUGUUUCGGAUCCUUUCUGCUUUCUGCACCCCACCCCCUCUUUCACCUCCCAACGCUACGCACUACUUGGCCUUUCCCUUCUUUUUGCGCAUUGGCGUACGCCACACACACACACACACACCUAGCUCGUGUCGCUCACCCACCUGCGCGGCGGAGCCCGUCUGAGGGAAGGGGGCAAGGAGACGGAAUCGAAAGCCGAAGGGCCUCAAGGAAAACGUACAGGCGCCGAAGUAGACUGCCGUGUGUGCGGAUGCGCGCGCACUUGUUGCCUGUUGAACCUUUUCCCCGCCUUGGCCGACAGAUCAUACUCACUCUGUGGAGGAGGGCUCAUGAGUGACACACUACUGGACACAGGCCACACUGCGGCCGUGACCGACAUUGCAGCGGAUGCGAAUGGACGGCAUCUGGCGACGGCGAGUAGUGAUGGCACAGUGCACGUUUAUGAGUCUGUCACUUCCUCCUCCAAGGAAGCGUCGCAGUACAAGGGUGGGCCACAGCCCACGACGUGGAGCCCCGUCGCGGUGCUCCAGUGUAGCAGCGAGGAACAAGCGGCGACGGUGACGUGCGUGGCAUGGGCCCCUCCCGCCUUAUACACGGCCGCCCUCGUUACGUGCACUGAGUUGGCCAAUGAGGUGGCUCUCUGGUGUGACGUGGGCAACGACGCACAGUAUCGCAAAAUCUACGUCUACACCUUGGCCGCACCGGGCUGGUGUGUUGCAUGGGCCCCGCACGAGUACGGGAAGCUGUUUGCCGUCGGCUGCGCGGAUGGGGCGGUGGUCGUCUUCACCGGCGGCCCAGACGGCACGUGGGACAUCCACUCCUUCGAGAGCCAUCCGCACGGUUGCUGCGGCCUCUCGUUCGCUCCGUUUUUUCCGCCGGGAGCACUGCUCAUGGCGCCUCUGGAGAAGGACGUUGGCAAUGUUCCGGGCAAUGCGCCGCCGAUACCGCUCGCACCACCCCGUAUGAUCACAUGCGGUGGUGGCCGGUUCGUGAAGCUCUGGACGCACUCGUUUGCGCCUCUGCCCGGCGAAGAAGGCAGCGGCGCGCCGCUGGGGUCUGUGUGGACGUCCAUAGAGCUGGAGGCGGCCGAGGCGACGAGCGCCCCAGCGUGGCGGGAGGUGUGCUGGGCUCCGAAUCUGGGUCUGCCGUUCACGUACAUCGCGGCCGGUUCAGAGGACGGACUGGUAGCAGUCUGGGUGCAGGAUGGACCCGCCUCGAACCCAUGGCAGUGCCGCCUUCUGCCCCCGCCCCACGGCACUCCAGGCGAGAAUGUGACGAAACUCUCGUGGUCUUUGGUAGGUACGUUCCUCUUGGUGUCCUACGCUGAUGGCACGGUGGCGAUGUGGAAGGAGACGAGCAAUCAUGGGGCGUGGCGCGUGGUGAGUGAGUUGGAGAAUCCAACCCUGUGAGGGAGUGACGUGUGGGGCACUUUUAUUUGUGGGCUUGUUGCGGCCUCGUGCACGCCUCCCUCGCGUCCUCGCUCUUUUCCCAUGCUGCCCUCUCUAUCGACAUCCGAUUUUUCUGGCCCCGCCUCGCCGGGUCUUCUCCACUUGUUUCCCUGCAUCGCGUUGCCUCACGCUUGACGGAACUCUUGAGGGGAAAAGGAGGGAAGCGAAGUGCAUUGUUUCCCUUGUGCCAGCGUUGUCUCCUUGCCACCGGCUUGUCUGAGUGGGCUGCAAACCACACAAUCCUUCUUCUCCCCCACCCAACACCCACCGCUACAAGGGAAAACCAAGUGGAAGAGGCAGGAGCAGUACGCGGCACAGCAUUUGGAGAGGGAGAGAUGCAACCUGCUUUUCCUGUCGGCUUGUGCGUGAGUGUGCAGGACUCAAGACGACUGUUCUGCGGUGUGUCCGGCACAUGGUUUCCGAGGAUGAAAUGCAGCUGGACUGCAUGGUUGAUGUGCAGGGACGUUGUGUCUGCCGCUUCCCGACCCCUCAUGGGCCUGCGACUCUUUUCUUCUCGAUCUCUGCGUCCAUGGCCAACUUCCCUCCUCCUCGGUCUUUCCUGUGCCCCUAUCUUCCACACCCCCUCAUCUUGGUGCACCGCUUCCAUUUACGUUCCCUGUGCCGUGGCCCUUAUCUUGCCCUGACGAAUUCACUGACACACGUACACAUGCGAACACACACACACAUACACACGGUAACUAAAACGUCACAG